UAGGGAAUAUUGGACAAUGGGCGCAAGCCUGAUCCAGCCAUGCCGCGUGAGUGAAGAAGGCCCUCGGGUUGUAAAGCUCUUUUGUCCGGAAAGAAAAGCUUUGGGUUAAUACCCCGAAGUCCUGACGGUACCGGAAGAAUAAGCACCGGCUAACUUCGUGCCAGCAGCCGCGGUAAUACGAAGGGUGCAAGCGUUACUCGGAAUUACUGGGCGUAAAGCGUGCGUAGGUGGUUCGUUAAGUCUGAUGUGAAAGCCCUGGGCUCAACCUGGGAAUGGCAUUGGAGACUGGCGGGCGAGAGUGCGGUAGAGGGCAGUGGAAUUCCCGGUGUAGCAGUGAAAUGCGUAGAGAUCGGGAGGAACAUCUGUGGCGAAGGCGACUGCCUGGACCAGCACUGACACUGAGGCACGAAAGCGUGGGGAGCAAACAGG
This 429-nucleotide ribosomal RNA is filed under the name Actinomycetes bacterium. RNAcentral describes it as "Actinobacteria bacterium partial 16S ribosomal RNA". It matches the Rfam family "Bacterial small subunit ribosomal RNA", at positions 355 to 776 of the family's 1533-position model. The record is from RNAcentral. Lineage: Bacteria; Bacillati; Actinomycetota; Actinomycetes.